UAGCUUAGUCAGUUGAGCGUGGCGCUAACAAUGCCAAGGUCGCGGGUUCGAUUCCUGU
RNAcentral lists this transfer RNA (58 nucleotides) under Apaloderma vittatum (bar-tailed trogon). It matches the Rfam family "tRNA", at positions 8 to 63 of the family's 71-position model. Rfam says of the family: Transfer RNA (tRNA) molecules are approximately 80 nucleotides in length. Their secondary structure includes four short double-helical elements and three loops (D, anti-codon, and T loops). Lineage: Eukaryota; Metazoa; Chordata; Aves; Trogoniformes; Trogonidae. The record is from Rfam by way of RNAcentral.